GAGAGGUGCCCCUGGCCUUGAAGACUGGACUGGCGUGGGCUCGAGGACAGUUUCCCGCAGCUACGGAAAUCCCCCAUCAGAUGAGCAUCUCUUUUGCCAGGACCUGAGGACCAAGAAACCAAGAAAAGUAUGACGAUAACUAGCCGCUUAACUAGCUAGCUUAUGGAAAGAAGCUUGGUAAUGGAAUACCCGUUCUUGAAUAUCUUUCUUUUUAUCAAUACUGUCAGCAUGAGUCUUUAAUGCUGCUCAGAUAAUAGCAGUAAUGCGUGUCCUCCAAACUGACAAGUCAAUUCGCAAGAGGCCAUCCUGGAUGGAAAAAUGAAAUGGAGAGUGCAACUAUAUACUUUUCCCUUUGAUUUUAAUCACUGCAGAUAAGAUGAUUUGUAGAGAAGUAUGAAUUUUAUCUGAGGAUGUACAACAUGUAAGCCUGCUACUGGGUCAGUGGGAUGCUUUUGCCAACUAAAAGGAUUCGUGCUCUUUGAAAAAUAACCGAAUUCUUAAAAUGGGUGUUCAACUCCUGACGAAUGCGCACGUGACUUUUCGGCAAAGCCCUGCAACCAUCUGAGGUUUUACAAAUCCCACAAUCCCCUUUGCUGACAUACUUGCGCUAUCAAGGUCCUGCUUGUGUGAUAAUGGCAGAUUUGAUCUUCUCAGGUUUGUUUCAUCCUUAAGGGUCCAGCCCUAAUCCAGCCUUGCCCAACCUUUGCUGAACAGUAAAGCACUUCCAGUCAGACACUUAACUGCCUCUUCCUUUUUGAAGUGUCCGAAGCAUCUUAUCUGCUCAAGUUCAACCAAAUGCCUCCAAACUCAUUGGAUGGUGCUUCAUCCCACAGCAAGACAAUGAUCCCAAACAUACUGCUAAAACAACAAAGGAGAAAAUUCUUGACUUGCCAAGUCAUUCGCCCAAUCUGAGCACAAUUUCAUAUGCUGAAGAGAAAACCAAAGGCAACAAGCCCCUGAAACAAGCAGGAGCUGAAGAUGGCUGCAGUACAGGCCUGGCAGAGCACCAUCAGAGGUGAUACUCAACAUCUGGUGAUGUUUGUGGGUCAAGUAGUCGUU
Long non-coding RNA from Anguilla anguilla (European eel), 1059 nucleotides. RefSeq lists it as uncharacterized. The transcript has 3 exons. The record is from RefSeq and is a predicted model, not a curated record. Lineage: Eukaryota; Metazoa; Chordata; Actinopteri; Anguilliformes; Anguillidae.